GACGAACCGUGCGAACGUUAUUCGGAAUCACUGGGCUUAAAGCGCGUGUAGGCGGGCCGGCACGUCGGUCGCUGAAAUCCCCCGGCUCAACCGGGGAAGGGGCGCCGAAACGACCGGCCUGGAGGGGGGUAGGGGGCGCCGGAACUCACGGUGGAGCGGUGAAAUGCGUUGAGAUCGUGAGGAACGCCCGUGGCGAAAGCGGGCGCCUGGACCCCGCCUGACGCUGAGACGCGAAAGCCAGGGGAGCGAACGGG
RNAcentral lists this ribosomal RNA (254 nucleotides) under uncultured bacterium. Its description in RNAcentral is "partial 16S ribosomal RNA". It matches the Rfam family "Bacterial small subunit ribosomal RNA", at positions 524 to 776 of the family's 1533-position model. The record is from RNAcentral.